AUUGAACGCUGGCGGCAGGCCUAACACAUGCGAGUCGAGCGGAUGAAGGGAGCUUGCUCCUGGAUUCAGCGGCGGACGGGUGAGUAAUGCCUAGGAAUCUGCCUGGUAGUGGGGGAUAACGUCCGGAAACGGGCGCUAAUACCGCAUACGUCCUGAGGGAGAAAGUGGGGGAUCUUCGGACCUCACGCUAUCAGAUGAGCCUAGGUCGGAUUAGCUAGUUGGUGGGGUAAAGGCCUACCAAGGCGACGAUCCGUAACUGGUCUGAGAGGAUGAUCAGUCACACUGGAACUGAGACACGGUCCAGACUCCUACGGGAGGCAGCAGUGGGGAAUAUUGGACAAUGGGCGAAAGCCUGAUCCAGCCAUGCCGCGUGUGUGAAGAAGGUCUUCGGAUUGUAAAGCACUUUAAGUUGGGAGGAAGGGCAGUAAGUUAAUACCUUGCUGUUUUGACGUUACCAACAGAAUAAGCACCGGCUAACCUCGUG
RNAcentral lists this ribosomal RNA (484 nucleotides) under uncultured bacterium. RNAcentral's name for it is "partial 16S ribosomal RNA". It matches the Rfam family "Bacterial small subunit ribosomal RNA", at positions 30 to 507 of the family's 1533-position model. The record is from RNAcentral.